CUUUUCCGUCUGCCCAUGCCUGCGCCGCGCAGUGCAGGCGUACAAUCCUGAGCAGCUUACGACACUCAGUGAACACUAGGUGCCUCUGCAUGCUCUCGCAACACACUGCUCAGCUGAAGGGAAGGGAUAUCUCGCUGUCUCUCUCUCUCUCGGCUCUAAGCAUCACCUAACGAGCAAAGCGAACAAAGAAUGGGAAAUAAAGCUACCCUUAGCCGGUCAGUGAAUGAAGGGCAAUCUCUCUCUAUGGAGUAAAAGGUUGUGCCGGUCAGUGGUCGUCGCAAACGAUGGACCUUGAGCAGAUUGCCAAAGCCGGCGGAGUCGUUAGGGAAGAGUUUGGAGUUUUUUUCGCGGCACAGUGGUAACCGCAGAGAAAAAGGACAGAGGGAGAAGGAGAAGAUCGAGCUCAUGCACAUAGUUCUGAAACUUGCAGGUCCUAGAAGUCAGCUAAAAAGCUAGCUGGACAACCCUCUAGCUCUCUGAGCAGAAGCAAAGUAAGACAUUGUGAGCGUGCCAGCCUUGCACACCACUGAAAGGGACUGCAUUUGUAGCACAGAGGGGUCUUUUUUAGCUCCGCAUAUAAUUAGUCCAAACACAAAGGAAGCAACUGAAUGGAGGUUGUCACUCUCUGGAAAAGGCAAAAGGACAUGCUGAAUAACCCUCCCCCUUCCCCCAGCAUCUCCAAUGGUAUUCAGAACGGCAAAGGAGAAGGAAUAUUUAACCAGGAAGCUUAUUGCUAGUGCUUUAAAAAUAAUACUAAUAAUAAAGGAAACAAAGAGAAGGAGACAAAAGAGAGAGAAGACUGGAGUAACGAUGACUAAACCAGGUUGUUGCUAGUUUCCCUCGCCUUUCCUUUUUUAAAGAUGGUUACAUCUAAGGGACUAGCAGAGAUGCAAAACCCAAGGCUGAUGUGGGUGGAGAAAGCAGCCUUAAACACUGUGUAAGUGGAGAUGAAACAGCUUCUGGAAAGGAGGGCAACACCACAAAACAGGCUUAUUGAAGGAGAAAGACUACUGGAAAGCGUGAGGGCACGUGAUGAAAGGAAAGGCAAGACUAGGAGAGGAGCAGAGGUGGGUCCUACGCACGCGAGGGAGAUGAGAUUUUGGUGUCUUCACCUCCCAUGUUGAAACUGUAGCAAGAACAACAACGGAGAUUUAAGAAGGAUACCCAGCAUCUCCUUCUCUCUGUGUCUUCUCAAAGACAGACUUUUAUACCCCAAAUAUCUCACUUUCCCAUCCUUUAAGAAACCUUCAUGGAGAGAGAGGGGUGAUCCUGAGAUCAGCAGAUUCCCACGCUCACCCUCAGACUCAGCUUCGGUAUCCACAGCUACGAUGACAAGCAUACACGGGGUAUCUGCACCCAAUUUAUUAUUACACAUCAAGCAGAGAAACAUGGUGAAAGUAAAGGAGUAGGUGCAGCAUACCUCCGAAGUUAUCCAGAAGAAAGCAAGGCUACAAAAAUAUUAUGGAAACCAAGCAACAAUCUAGCUUGCGCUGCCAAGACACAGCCUGUAAUUGGGUGGGUGGCUGUGCAGAUCCUAGAUGAAUGCUGCAGCGCCCGGUAAUUUUAUUGCAGUAUGUCUGCUUUAAAGCGAGCAUAUUUGCAAUGAAAUCGGUAUUUCUGUGUGAACCAGGCAAUUGUUUUUAUGGGAAAGAAAACGUCACUGGUUGGCAUUCAGAAACAAUUAUUCAGCCUUUAAACCAAUUACUGGCCUCACUCGCCCGGGCUAGACAUUCAGAAAUGAAUUCUGAGUUCGACGCACCCAUAUUUGCAUUGCAAGAGAAGAAAUCUAGUUUAAAAUAAAAAUCAGACACUAGCAUGCACCUUUUCUUUCAGUUCUCUUCCCGAAAAUUCAAAUAUGUACAUGCCUUGCAGAAAUUAGAGAUAAUUGGCAGAUAAUUUGCUUGGCAAAUGGCACGUGCUAGUCUGCUAAGGCACUUUUAUUUCAAACCAUCUCUCUUCUCCCAUUUUUUCACCUCCUCCCCAGACACAGUAACUACUGCCCACAGAGAUGUCUUUUCACGUGGACAAUAUGGAAGUAUGACCAAUAUGGUUCCAUUUCUGAGCUAACAAAAACUAAACCCAAGAUUUCAAAGGUAACUAGUAUGUAUAUAAAAAUCUCCUUGAUCACUGAAUUACCAUUUUUAAUGCAGUAGAUUUACCUGGCUGAUACCACUAGAAACUAAGCAUGGUCCUUCAUCGAUUACAAACUUUGCUCUAGCCUUUUGAAAGAUAUGUGCCUUUCUCCUAGUAGGAAAUUACAGUAGGAUAGAGUAGUAGGAGAGGACUUAAAAUGGUAUUUUCAGCCAAAUCUGAGAUAAAAAGUAUGUAUGGAUAUACCAAACUGAUUAAAAGGGCUUAGCUAAUUAAGGGGAUGCAGCCUACCUAUAAUAAACCUCAGUGAAGCAGGACGCUUCUCUACUCUAGUGGUUACUAAAAGGUAUAAACAAACAGCUUCCUAAUAGCCGGGGACUCAAACUGGAGUUUGAUUCAGGACUCUGAAUAUAUAAACAUAUAAAAUGCAGAUUUUCCCUCUAGCUUUUUAUUCCUUCUUACCCAUUCUCCCAUUUUGCAUUCCCAGAACUUUGCAGGCAGAGUGAACCAAAAGCAGGGAACCCCCUCUCCCCACCCCACAAAUGCAAAACUCAACUGCCAACCCAGCCCGCAGCUAUUGAAUUCCAGCGGUUUUUAUUCUUUUAACAACUGCCAGCACUUUGAAGCGCUUCCGCUCUCGACCCUGUUUGCAAGACUAGAGCUAAAGCGAGCUCCCCAGAGUAAACCCGACGCUGGCUCCGUAGUUUGGUGCUCCUACCGACGGUUUGUCUUGCUAAGAGAGACUAGUAAAGGUUACAGGAUGUUAAUAAUAAUGAGAUAAACCACCUAGGGAUGUUUCCCCUCCAUUUUUAAACUUGGCUCACUCCAAAAGUUUAUCUUGAUGGAAAACGUACUUCUCUGAUCCUGAUUAUUUCCCAAAGCAAUUUUCCAACAGCAAACAGAAAUUUGUGGCAGCUGCUAAAAGGGUUUCUAUCCCUGCGCUAAAGAGGACACUGGAUGUCAAAUGUUUACCUUAAUUUCAUGUAAAUGUCACUCUGUAUUGGACAUUCUGUAUUUUUUUUAAUCUGCAGCUGCUUCCAUCCUCGCAACCCUUAGCAGAGAGCUACAAGUACCUUUACCAACCACACAGCGGCCGAUCCUAUUGGCAGUUCAAAUACCUCCCCACAAACUGGAUGCAAUUAAUUUGCUAUGUAAUUGCUGCAGUUUUAACAAAGUGAGCGCGUAUCGUAUGGCCUGAAACACCAAGAAAUAAUGCAGACGAUAAAUAAGUAGAAGAAAUGUAUCCGAAACACCUUCUGCAAGGGGGGGGAAACCCACAAUACAAAAUACACUGGUUAUGACAAUGCUCGAGCUUGUAAAAGGUAGAGGGCCCUGAGCAUCAACUGCAAACAGGUGAAUUACACAGGACAGAGCAAAAAAAGGAGAUGAUCUGCAAAGUAGGAGGCCCACAAAAUGAGUUUAUAGAAUCGUGUGUUUGCAAUGGGGAAAAGAGCGAUCCACGAAGUCCAGCAAAGACAAACCCUGAGCCUAUUCCUCUCUCCGUCUCUGCCUUGUCAUGGUGGGAUUUGGGGGCAUAUUUUUUAAAUCUAAACUAUUUUACUUCUAUCUGCUACACACACAUAGCACUGCAUCCCUGCAGUUUGUGCUUUUUGUUUUAUGUUAAAUGCGCUGCCAAUGGGUGUUUUUGUGAAGGGCGGCACUUCCAGCCUCUAGUGAACCCUUACUGUAUUCCUCCUGUACAUGUACUUCCCUGAUUACAGCAACUGUUAGGUCUUACAUCCUUCUUGUUGGUGGAAGGAAGAUCUUCCACCUCAGUUCCUCUUCAUACAGUGAGUUAUAUUCUAUAUCUUUCUAAAAAAUGGAGUUGAAAACUCUUGUUUUUUCUCUCCGGUUAUGUUUUCCUCUUAUGUAGAAUAACAUAGCCCAAAUCUGUCAUUUUUCAUUAGCAACAAAGGACUCAAGCUAUGGCUGUUAAUGACAACUCUUAAUGAGGUUUUUGAUGAGUGAGUCCUGAAAAAUCAAACCUGAGAUAAACACUAAAAUCCACCUCAAGCCCAUUGUUUCCAAGUAGUAGAGAUACUAACAAAUGGGGUAUAAAAGUGAGGAUGUUUAAAGCAAACCAGUGCAUUUAAAACAACAAAUCGCUUAAGCGAGCGAGGCUUAAGCAAGGCUUAAGCGGUGCGCAUUGAGCAAUUUUAAAAGGUGCAAAAACAAAGAGGUGCAGCUGGUAAAACAUGCAGAUUUGUAGUAAAAGUAGCUGUUGCACCAAAAGAUGGAUAACUAAAGCAUGCUGAAGUUCCCCCUGUUUAGAGUUGGUUAGGGAUGAUUAUAACAAACAGACUCACGCAGAAUGACAAAUAACUAACUAGUAAAUCUUAUCUCAGUGGCUGCUAAGGUAGUAUCAAGACUAACUAAGGUCUGUGACGUGGUAUAAUAAGGAUAAAUUGACCUAAAUUCCUGAACUUUGGACUACUGUUACCUGCUGCAGGCCUCAUGGACUCAAAGCAUUUUGGCUAACACCCAAUGUUUGACUGGAAACUCUCUACACGUGAUUGGAUUGUUAUAUUGCUUAAUGUGGGGUCUGAGGAAUGCCCGACAGACUGAAAAAAUCAUAAUUUAGGGACUACCAUAAUGCAAAAGCUGGAAAAUCUUAUCAAAGUGGUCUAAUUAAAAAAAAAGACAAUUUUAUAUUUGGGCUUCUGACAAAACGCCACUAAAAGAGAUUCAGAUAGUAAGACAAAAAAGAUACGCUCUGUGAUUGUGGAAAACCAGCUAUGUGACCGAAAGCACAGUGGCCCUUUUACAGCAAAAAAAUCGAGAGCAGUCUGUCUGCUCCCAAGGCCGGUCUUGCUGAAUCAUCCUAGCGACGAUCAGGAAACGUGUGGCCACGUUUUUCCAAUGACAGAUUAUUUAUGUUGCAGAAAGUAAUGAAAAUCAGGCGGAUGUGCAAAGGGACUUCCAAAGGCUGAAGAUUACAUAAACUUUGAUGGAUGAAAUUCAAAGCUGUCAAAUCCUAAGGAGAAAAAAAAAAAAAAAAACAAGUAGAAGGAAAAUUGUUCAUCCAUACCUUUGAGGUGUAAAUUAUAGGCACUAACGGAACAAUUACCGUUCUGGAUAGUUCACUGAAAAACUCUGCUUGGUAUGUGAAAGCAAAAAAAAAAGGGGGGGGAGAAAAAGAAAAAUGAAAUAACGUUUAAAAUGUGUAUGGAAGUGAAUAAGCACUUAAACUAAAUAGCCUGCUAUAAAUCGCUACUACUCCAUCAGCUAGAAAACCGUCCCCAGGUCUCUUAAAGCGAAAGUUAGGAAAGGAUAUAACUCCUAGACAAUGUUAAGCUACUGGAAAGUAAAAGGAUGAAAGAUAUGAAAAAGUUCAUACGUAAUAAGAGAUACGAAGAAACUGGACCUACAGCUGCAGCACAAGAGCAAAACGUGUAUCCAUUCCCCCUCUAGCGGCCAGUCCACAUAGGGCUAUCAUGAAAAAAAACAUCAUAAAAGUGAAUGGCAAUAUGCUGGCAAUUGGUCUGAAAACAAGCACCCUCCUCCCCGCUCUUUGAACCCCCACACUGUGCGUAUCUGAGCAUCCUUUUCACGCUGUUUCCCAUCGCGUUAUUGUUACAUCCUAUUUCCUCAUUAAACCGUCUCGUGUACUCCUUCGUUGUCUCCUGUUCUGUUAUGCAGAGAAUAAGCUGUUUUAUAGUAAUCUUUUUGCAAUCUGCUAGCACACACCUGCAAGGGGAGGAUCUGGAACAGGGGCCCAUAUACA
Struthio camelus australis is the source of this 5815-nucleotide RNA transcript. It is a transcript of the gene named leucine rich repeat transmembrane neuronal 1, with no coding region annotated. The record is from RefSeq and is a predicted model, not a curated record. NCBI's taxonomy places the organism in Eukaryota, Metazoa, Chordata, Aves, Struthioniformes, Struthionidae.